Molecule: non-coding RNA, 88 nt
Filed under: Platyophrya macrostoma
Lineage: Eukaryota; Ciliophora; Colpodea; Cyrtolophosidida; Platyophryidae
Source: RNAcentral
AAGAAGAGAAAAAAUGGGGAUGUGGCCCAUGAUAUUUGUUUGAUGUUCUUCUUUUUUUUUUUUUUUUGGGUUUUUGUGUUUUUUUUUU